This 654-nucleotide ribosomal RNA is filed under the name uncultured bacterium. Its description in RNAcentral is "bacterial SSU rRNA". It matches the Rfam family "Bacterial small subunit ribosomal RNA", at positions 84 to 734 of the family's 1533-position model. The record is from RNAcentral.
CCUGGUGGCGAGUGGCGAACGGGUGAGUAAUAUAUCGGAACGUGCCCAAUCGUGGGGGAUAACGUAGCGAAAGCUACGCUAAUACCGCAUACGAUCUAAGGAUGAAAGCGGGGGAUCGCAAGACCUCGCGCGAUUGGAGCGGCCGAUAUCAGAUUAGGUUGUUGGUGGGGUAAAAGCCCACCAAGCCGACGAUCUGUAGCUGGUCUGAGAGGACGACCAGCCACGCUGGGACUGAGACACGGCCCAGACUCCUACGGGAGGCAGCAGUGGGGAAUUUUGGACAAUGGGCGAAAGCCUGAUCCAGCAAUGCCGCGUGCAGGAUGAAGGCCUUCGGGUUGUAAACUGCUUUUGUACGGAACGAAACGGCCUUUUUUAAUACAGGGGGCUAAUGACGGUACCGUAAGAAUAAGCACCGGCUAACUACGUGCCAGCAGCCGCGGUAAUACGUAGGGUGCGAGCGUUAAUCGGAAUUACUGGGCGUAAAGCGUGCGCAGGCGGUUUUGUAAGACAGAUGUGAAAUCCCCGGGCUCAACCUGGGACCUGCAUUUGUGACUGCAAAGCUAGAGUACGGUAGAGGGGGAUGGAAUUCCGCGUGUAGCAGUGAAAUGCGUAGAUAUGCGGAGGAACACCGAUGGCGAAGGCAAUCCCCUGGAC